CGGCCGGGCUAUGGAUGUUCGCCGAUUCUUCUAGGUGGCAGAGCACACACACAAAAAAAUAAAUGCGGCUGUGGCUGUGGCUGCGGCUAGCAGCUUGACAGGCUGCACGACCACUGGGCACCACCCAACACGUGCGAAGCCUAGUCAGGCCGCGCCGACGGGCUCUUUCUGUAAAAUGCACCUGAGCACCAAUGUUGGGUUCUGCCAGCGUCUGCUUCGUCGCUGUUUCAUGGAAUCUCCACCAUUUCCUCAAAAUGCACUGUACAGCCAAAGGACAUCAUGCAUACUCAAGGGCAAUAUUCCAAGUAUCAGAAGACGAUUGCAAGACUUCGAAGACAGCAGCUGAAGACCCCCAACACAAAGUGCUUAAUUGCAGCUGUUUAAUGACGGACACACUGGGUUACACAUUCGAGAUGAGGUGGUUGGUUUGUGCUCGAUUAUUUUUGCAGCCAUUUUAUUUCGGCACGCAACCAUCGACAUAAUUUUGCUACCCUAAUUCACCCUCUUUCGCAGAAGUACAAGAAAAAACGUCAUAUUCUUUUCCUCCUAAAACAAUCCCUUUUAUAGCAAAUUAAUUGCUGGCGUGUAUAUGCAGUCUUUAUUUCCAUUAUCUGGAUAGUUGCAACACGUCUUCUAUGUGUUUUGCUUGUGUAAAGUUAUUGCCAUCACGCCAUUAAUUUCCGACUAUUUCCAUUAUACCGGUGUCACAGGACCACUUUCGAUCGCGAUCAAGCCCGAUCCAGAUCGAAAUUUUCGACUGCUAUUGGCUCCAUCGCGCAGCUUGCACAAAAGAACCAAUCGCGGCCGAGAAAUUCAAAUCGGAUUGCGCAUUAUCGCAUUUAAAUGUGCGCUGUGUGACACCCAUAUUACUUGAAUUUCGCCAUUUCUUUCCCGUUUUCAUGUAUUUGCCUCUGACAAUCUUGCUGCAAUAAAUUGUUGCCUGCUA
Long non-coding RNA from Dermacentor andersoni, 946 nucleotides. RefSeq lists it as uncharacterized. Lineage: Eukaryota; Metazoa; Arthropoda; Arachnida; Ixodida; Ixodidae. The record is from RefSeq and is a predicted model, not a curated record.